Molecule: ribosomal RNA, 253 nt
Filed under: uncultured bacterium
Lineage: Bacteria
Description: partial 16S ribosomal RNA
Rfam family: Bacterial small subunit ribosomal RNA
Source: RNAcentral
UACGUAGGUGGCAAGCGUUGUCCGGAUUUACUGGGCGUAAAGAGCGCGCAGGCGGUCGUUCAAGUCGAGUGUGAAAGCCCCCGGCUUAACUGGGGAGGGUCACGCGAUACUGAUCGACUCGAAGGCAGGAGAGGGUAGUGGAAUUCCCGGUGUAGUGGUGAAAUGCGUAGAUAUCGGGAGGAACACCAGUGGCGAAGGCGACUACCUGGCCUGUUCUUGACGCUGAGGCGCGAAAGCUAGGGGAGCAAACGGG